UCACAGUAAUCAGCUCAAGGUUUAGCCAAUGGCUCGCCGGCGGCGAGGAGGCUCCCCUGGUCGCUUCGCUGCACUAGUAUUUUGCUGCCGGAGUGGCCGGACUUUGCCCCCACAAUUUCUUAAAUCCAAUCCUCAGCUGGCGGAAACUUGCCGACUUUCCUCCUGCUGGGGCAACCUUGUUCAUCGAUUCAGCUGUAAAGAUUCAUUCUUUGCGUGGUUAAUGAAUAGCUUUCGAUUGAACAGCAGGUGUUAAAAUAAAAUGUCUCAACCAUCACUUCAGUUGUAUGUUAUAUUAUAGGCUCUUGGUGAGUUUGCUUUGAUCUGCAGAUUGUUCAUGGAAAUGAAAGAACAACACUGUUACUGGAUUCUGGUGAUCCUAAGAAGGUGAAGAAACCAGCUUUUUGGUUUGUUUGUUGAUUAUGGUGAUUGAAUUGAAACACCUGGUCAAGUGUGAAACUGAAAUUCAUGGCAAAAGCAGUCACAUUGGCCAUGGAAUCAAAAUAUCUGAUCCUUUGUCUGGAUUGUGCAGAAACCAGGAUCAUGGAAUGGAAGCUGUCAAGUUGAUCAUCAUCCCCAGUAAUGACAUAUGGGAGAAGAUGAAACUAAGACUGCAAAUGCUUGAACUGCAAUUGAUUGCUAGCUGCGAACAUAGCUUAUUAGUAAUAACCACUUAUAGACUAGUUCCUCUGUAUCUUUAAACUGUCUGGUGAAUGCUGAGCUUUAAACCUAUGGCGGGGUCCCCUUCUUGCUGAUGCUUAGUUGAACGAUGGCUGGGGAUUCACCAUAACCGAUUGUGAAUGGAAUUCCCAAAUUUUAUGUUUACAGCUUUAGUUUGAUCCUUUGUCUAGGUUGUGCAGAAACCAGGAUCAUGGAAUGGAAGAAACGAAACUCAGAAGGCCAAUGCUUGAACUGCAAUUGACUUCUAGCUCAUAAACAUACCUUAUUAGUAACAACCAAUUAUAGUUCCUCUGUAUCUUUAAACUGUCUGGUGUAGAUGCAGAGCUUUAAACCAAUGGCGGGUUCCCCUGCCGAUGCUUAGUUGAGCGAUCGCUGUGGAAUCGGCAAUAACACCAAACCGGUUUAUAAAGUUGUGACCUCGAAUCUCCUAGUUUGAUUAUUACUUGAUUGACCUCGAAUCGGCAAUACCACUUUCAUGGCGUUUGUAGAAGCUUCAUUGACGUGAUUGAUUGAUGCUCUUGGUGUAGCAGUGUCUGUGAAGACUGUGCCAACAGCUUAAUCGCCCGUUUCCGUAUUACUAAAGCUCGAUAGCCAUAACAAGUUCAGCUCCAUGACUAUUAACAAAUAGUUAAGCUCCGCUCGUGAGUAGCC
RNAcentral lists this long non-coding RNA (1329 nucleotides) under Linum usitatissimum (flax). Its description in RNAcentral is "long non-coding RNA (LUSI_LNC006813)". The record is from RNAcentral. Lineage: Eukaryota; Viridiplantae; Streptophyta; Magnoliopsida; Malpighiales; Linaceae.